RNAcentral lists this unclassified non-coding RNA (2363 nucleotides) under Daphnia pulicaria. RNAcentral's name for it is "uncharacterized LOC124316081, transcript variant X2". The record is from RNAcentral. Lineage: Eukaryota; Metazoa; Arthropoda; Branchiopoda; Diplostraca; Daphniidae.
UUUAAAAUCUCUAUAACAUCGAUGAACGGACACACGAAGGGAGUGUGUAGAGCGGGUGCCGAUGUGUGUUUAAUCGAUCGCCCGGCAACACACAUUGCACUAUUGCAGCAACUCGAUUCCUAUCAUCAGUCAUAGAUGGCGUAGACCCGCUCAAAUUCAACAAAGGAAAUAAAUAACAAAGCCAUUUUUUUUAUUGUUUUUAACUAGAUAUUAUACUAGACGUCAGUAAACAAUGAAAGGUUUAAAUGUAUGUAAAUUCAAGUGUGGUGGAGGUAGGGAGUGAAAAUGAAUUUCAAGAUGGCCGAUUUCUUGCCUUCUUUCCUCCCGUUUCUAUUUGAUUCUCGUUGGCAAGGGGGAGCGUCUUUCGGUGUUUGUUAUGAUUUUGUGUCGUCUCGGUCAAAUGUUUCAAGUUCUUGCCAAUUGUUCUAUCCUAUCUGUUAUUUCUUUCUUUCCUUCUUUCUUAGCAGCCUGUGUGUGACGUGUGACUGCCAGGACUUUUAUAUCACGAAGCAAAGAAAAGGCAUUUGCUGGAGGAGAGCUGUCAUCAACAUUCAUUUUGCUUCUACAUUUUUUAGGAUCAUGUGACGUCAAUGCUUCUUGUUUUCCAACCACUGUUGAGGCGUUCCGAUGGCAGCCUGUCACACAUUCAAUUGGUUCAAGGACAAUGUGGGACAACAGUGCUGGCCACAACUUGGGGAGACUACUAACAGUUGUCCAGGGUGGUCAACACAACACUUGCUGGUCAAAUCUGAUCUUCUGUUCAAAUGUUAAAAGAAGAUUGGCCAGUUGAUGGCAGCCUGCACCAAUGCUGCCGAGACAAGUUCAUUCACCAACACCUACUACGUUCCUCUAAAUGAUGAAAGAGAAAACAAAUCCUCAGAAGCAAGAGUGUAUGUAUUGGACCAGAAAAUGAAUUGUUGCUGGAAGCUCAAAUAGUUUGUGCCAUUUUCCAAAACAAUGCCCUUAAACUGUGCAGCGAACUGAGCGACAAUGUGGUCCAGCAAUUCGCUCAGUGCAUCGAGACCACACGCCGUCACGUGGAAUAUCUCCCCUUUCUGCCAACGAUCGUGAAAGCGGAAGGCCAAAUCAUCCGUAAGAACUGGUCGGGGAGGAAGUACUCUUCUUUUACAACGUCAAUAAGGCCUUGUUCUACGACUUUCUCGACAUGAUGAGUGCCGAACGGUACCGGCUGGAACUCAGCACUGGAAGCAGCGGAGCUCUCAAGUAAAACCAAAAGAAACCUAAUUCCCUAAAAGCUUCGAACUUAUUCCGUCUUUUUUAGUUACCACAUUAAAGUUGAAUUUCUAUUUCAUUGAAGGUGGAUUAAACAUACUGAACGACAGCGUGAGUCGUGGCGACAAUGAGUACGCUGAAAGGAUCCUAGCGUCCAGAAUUUUUUUUUUUUUUAAUCACGUCGUGCACAUCGUUUGCAAUCGCCUUCCAUUCUUUUUUGCUGUCCGUUGAGCGUUGCAGUAGGAAUUUUACUGUUCAAGCAAUGUUGUGUCCACACUAACAUAUGCGCUCAGCAAUUCAAUUAGCGAUUGACCUGAAUAUCAAUUACAACACGUGUUAUUGACUCCGCAGCCGUGGUUUAGUAUUUUUAUUUUUGUUUGCGCUGCCAGCGUUGUGCUCGAGAAACACUGCUGUGAUGUCAAUAACAUUGGUUUUAAUAUUGAUAUCCAGGUCAAUCCUUCAUGAAAACCGACUGCGCAUUUUUUUUUUUAAUAAAUAGGAUGCAAGGAUAGUGAUCGCCACUAUUAAGAAAUACUGUUACCUGUAUAUAAAAGCCGGAACCUGGUUGUCGAAUUCCUUAUAAAAGCGUCUAAUGUUCCCAUUCGCUUUAUUGUUCGUGAUCAACAUUCAUUUAAAAGUAGAUUCUGAAUAAAAUUGUCUUUAGUACGAGCCGCCAUGAAUCCCGCACUACUGGUCAAUGUGAUAUUCGUUCUUGUCAUUGCCUCUCCUGUGGCUAGAUCGCAACCUUUACGUCCGAAUGGAAACCACUCUGAUCUCCCUGAUUCAAUAUCAUUCGCCGUAUCAGAAGUACAUGAAGUUGCCCCCAUUGCUGAAGCUGCGACAGAUGCCGUUCCUGAAAUUGCAGUUGUCGCCGAAGAAGAAGUUCUGGUCGUUGUUCCGGAAACGGAGCCUGUCGUCGAGCAAGUCGUCGUCGUUCCAGAACCGGAAGCUGUUGUCGAGCAAGUUGUCGUAACCUAGAAGCCAGCAGCAGUUGAAGAGUUGUCUCUUGAAUAUCUUCCUCCAGUCGUUUCCAUCGCCGAAGUGAAACCAGAAGUUAAAUUUUGUUGGUUUGGGGAAAAGUGGACAUCAAUAAUUUUUAAUCAUUAAAAUAAAAUGACAGUUUGACUGUG